UAAAUAAUAGUUUAAAAGGAAAAUAUUAUAUUUUGAGUGUAGAGUUAGCUUAAUAGGCUUUAUUUAA
RNAcentral lists this transfer RNA (67 nucleotides) under Botrylloides violaceus. RNAcentral's name for it is "transfer RNA-Gln". Lineage: Eukaryota; Metazoa; Chordata; Ascidiacea; Stolidobranchia; Styelidae. The record is from RNAcentral.